RNAcentral lists this non-coding RNA (18 nucleotides) under Arabidopsis thaliana (thale cress). The record is from RNAcentral. Lineage: Eukaryota; Viridiplantae; Streptophyta; Magnoliopsida; Brassicales; Brassicaceae.
UUCAAUGAUUGACAAAGU